RNAcentral lists this unclassified non-coding RNA (237 nucleotides) under Glomus sp. RNAcentral's name for it is "partial contains 5.8S ribosomal RNA and internal transcribed spacer 2". The stretch from base 1 to 65 matches the Rfam family "5.8S ribosomal RNA", at positions 84 to 154 of the family's 154-position model. The record is from RNAcentral. Lineage: Eukaryota; Fungi; Glomeromycota; Glomeromycetes; Glomerales; Glomeraceae.
GUGAAUCAUCGAAUUUUUGAACGCAAAUUGCACUCUCUUCGGAGAGUAUGCCUGUUUGAGGGUCAGCCUAAAAAAAAAAAUCGACAUAUUCGCUGUUUCGCGGUUACAUUCGUCGGAAAUUGGUUCAUCUUAAACUUUUGGUUUUUAAGUGGUUUAAAAUUUUUUUUUCUAUUCCCCGAACAUUUCUAAGAUUUACUUUUUUUCCGUUUAGGUAAUCGAUCUUUAUUAAACGUGCCC